GUAACGCGUGGGCAACCUGCCUCAUACAGGGGAGUAACAGUUAGAAAUGACUGCUAAUACCGCAUAAGCGCACAGGACCGCAUGGUGUAGUGUGAAAAACUCCGGUGGUGUGAGAUGGACCCGCGUCUGAUUAGCUAGUUGGCAGGGCAACGGCCUACCAAGGCGACGAUCAGUAGCCGACCUGAGAGGGUGACCGGCCACAUUGGGACUGAGACACGGCCCAAACUCCUACGGGAGGCAGCAUG
This 245-nucleotide ribosomal RNA is filed under the name uncultured bacterium. RNAcentral's name for it is "partial 16S ribosomal RNA". It matches the Rfam family "Bacterial small subunit ribosomal RNA", at positions 110 to 353 of the family's 1533-position model. The record is from RNAcentral.